Molecule: long non-coding RNA, 2034 nt
Organism: Anas platyrhynchos (mallard)
Lineage: Eukaryota; Metazoa; Chordata; Aves; Anseriformes; Anatidae
Source: RefSeq, a predicted model, not a curated record
UCUCUGGCUCUACUCCGCUCAACAGUGAAGCUAUAUCUAAACCAUCAGUAGUCAAUAUUUUCAUUUGCAUGACAUCUGAGAGACUGGGAGAGGGAGGAAGAGAAAGAAGGAUCAAGAGCUCUACUGCUUGUCUGUUGAGCUUGAGCUGGCAAUUAGACAUUCACAGCACAUGUAACGUACUCAACAGCAGCUACAGCACAAAGGUCUGACAGAGCUUCCUAUAGUGCUUAGUCUUCUGCUCUCCUGGACAGGGUGACAAUCAGCAUAAAAGCUCUUUAUAUCCUGCUGGAUGUAUAUCCUGGUAGAAAAGAAGCCAGUCUUCGAUGUUUUAAACCUUAAGCCAUCUCUUAGGAGCUACUAAUGUGACAAUAUCCAGCUACAGAAUGGAUUGACAACAUGAAGGAAUACCCACAACUUCUGCGAAACAGAAACAGAUUUUUUUUAAAAUCAGGAGUCUGAUUUUUCCACAGGCAUGGUUUGCCAAUUAGAGCUGCCCAUUCUGGACAUUUAGAUACAAGCCUAAUGGAUAUUGUCCCCUAUGUUCCCUUCAGCCAGCUGAGCUCUGCCCUCUGCUGCUCCAGGACAUACUCCUUCCAGCACAGCAAGAGGUCUGCAUGCUCACCUGCAUCCCAGACAAGUAAAGGGAUGUAGCAGGUUUUGCAACAAAAGCUACAAUUCCAGCAACAAUUAUAAUGUCAGCACAGAAGUUACGUGUUCCAUGUAAAAUAGUCAAGGAAGAGAAAAAUGGUGCUCCAGUUGUACUUCAUGUGACCCCACAAAAUACCUGUGGACAGGCAUAACUGCUGAAAGCUGCGGCUGAGCUGGCAUCGGGAUGAUAGAAGCACCAGUGUGAGCUCUGCCACUCUGUUUAAAGCUGCAGGAAGUGCAAGGCUUUUGAAAGACCAGGUGUCUAUUCCCUUUAGUUUUUCCUACACCAUCUGCCUGACAAUCAGCAGUGAGGUGAAACUAAUGGCUUAAACAAGCAGACAAAUGGUUCUAAAUGCUGAUUUAGGAGGUUUAGUGCCUUUUCACCUAAACAUGAUCUUCACUGUUUACAAUUCAGAGGUGCUACCUGUCUGAUCAUUCCCCAUCCUCUACUUGCCAAGCUGUACGGCUUAAAAAGAAUAUCACAACUAAUACCAAGAUAGCAGCUAACAACAAAGCUGACUGAACUGGGGCUAAGGUGAAGAACUACUUUUAGUUAGCCUGCUGUUCCAGCUCAGCAGAAAAUAAAACAGUUUGCAGCUUUGGAUGCAGAGCUGUAUUAUUUACAUGCAUAAUUCAAAAUGGUUCAUCUUAAAGAAAAAUAAAAACAAACCUUUGUAGAGUUCCAAAAUAAUCUUUAACUUCUUUUUGAUAUGCUGAAUUUGUUGACAGCUUACUGUAUUAUUAUUAUUAUUAUUAUUAUUAUUAUUAUUAUUAUUAUUAUUAUUAUUAUUAUUAUUAUUAUUAUUGUGUCUAGGUCUAUCUGAGGGGCAUUACUGCCUACUAUUUUCCAGAAGGAUUAGGACAAUAAGACAUAAUUUGACAUAGGUCAUGUUUUUGUCAACUGACGGCUUUUCAGCAUUGUAUAUUUAUAUAUUUCUAAUUCCAGUUUCCAUUGUAUGUAAAGGAUGAUUACUUAUUUAAUGAAGAGACUUCACUGGAACAGAGUUUUGUCACAAGAUAAUGGUCUCAUGCUGUUAACUAAAUGGGAAAGCAUUUAUUGUAAAAUGUAUACACUCCAAUUUAAAAGAUUAGCUUGUAUGAAGUGAAGAUCCAGUAAUGGGAUGUGAGCAAGUGUAAGAGAAUAUAUUAUGAGAAAAAUAGUAUUUAUUUGUCUGUAAUAACAAACACAGUAACACAAAAAGAGAGACAACUUUGUUGUGUCUUUAUCCUCACAAUAUGUACAUGUCAAUAACUGAUUGUAUCAGUGCAAGCUAUAGACAUUGGUAGAGAAAAAAUACUGGUAAUGAUGACUGCUACAGGACUUCAGGAUUCAACCUUUCUGUCACUGGAGACUGGGUAAAUAAAACAAAAAGGUAUUUUCUCCAA